GAGGAUGUAGCUUAGUGAGAGAGCGCUCACUUCGCAUGUGAGAGGCUCCGGGUUCAAACACCGGCAUCUAUA
This 72-nucleotide transfer RNA is filed under the name Stegodyphus mimosarum. It matches the Rfam family "tRNA". Rfam says of the family: Transfer RNA (tRNA) molecules are approximately 80 nucleotides in length. Their secondary structure includes four short double-helical elements and three loops (D, anti-codon, and T loops). Further hydrogen bonds mediate the characteristic L-shaped molecular structure. tRNAs have two regions of fundamental functional importance: the anti-codon, which is responsible for specific mRNA codon recognition, and the 3' end, to which the tRNAs corresponding amino acid is attached (by aminoacyl-tRNA synthetases). tRNAs cope with the degeneracy of the genetic code in two manners: having more than one tRNA (with a specific anti-codon) for a particular amino acid; and 'wobble' base-pairing, i.e. permitting non-standard base-pairing at the 3rd anti-codon position. Lineage: Eukaryota; Metazoa; Arthropoda; Arachnida; Araneae; Eresidae. The record is from Rfam by way of RNAcentral.